GAAAUGCACUAGCCUAUGCAAACGCUAUGACCUUUUCCACCAGAACUUCUCCCAUUCAUCCAUGCUGUGUGUUCUUCCCAGGUCACAAUGAAGCCAUCACUUUGUGGCAGCCUCAAGUUCCACAAUUCUGGCUCUUAGUGCUGACACAAGGCCAUCACCAUCCAUCACUGCCACUCAGCAGCUUUUGGGUUGCAGUAUCUUGGCUGACACUAGGUAUUUUCUUUGGAGUCUCAUUAGAUCAUACUGAAAUGAGGACUUGCUUUUCAUCCUGUGACUAUAUAUGAGGGACUGCUAUCCCAUCAUCCAAGAGACCAUGAGGAAAACAAGGAUUUCAUGUGCACCCUUCUUCAAACCAGAACAUCUGGGAGUCAACACCAAUUAUGUUCCAACUUGAGAGACUUAUUGUCUUGUUUUGGCUGUUCACUGGGACCUCAGGAUCACCUUUGGGUAACAUUGUUACUAACCAUAAUAAUUUGGACAUUCUGAAUUCUGUCUCUGGAAGUGAGCCAGUAAAGUUGCUACCAGCUAACUCCUUCCAGUAUCAACCCUAAUAAACACUAUACCUGAAAUAGCAGAGGCUGCUUGGAGAGGGCACUGUUGUCCUUUAUGGGUGGCUUACUGAGAAAUGUGCAGUUGUUCAAUUCCUGUUCCUCACUUUUACUUUUAGAAGUAAAGACUACAUUGACAUUCUGUCUUUA
Molecule: long non-coding RNA, 698 nt
Organism: Mesocricetus auratus (golden hamster)
Lineage: Eukaryota; Metazoa; Chordata; Mammalia; Rodentia; Cricetidae
Exons: 2
Source: RefSeq, a predicted model, not a curated record